Molecule: transfer RNA, 77 nt
Filed under: Candidatus Babelota bacterium
Lineage: Bacteria
Description: tRNA-Met
Rfam family: tRNA
About the family: Transfer RNA (tRNA) molecules are approximately 80 nucleotides in length. Their secondary structure includes four short double-helical elements and three loops (D, anti-codon, and T loops). Further hydrogen bonds mediate the characteristic L-shaped molecular structure. tRNAs have two regions of fundamental functional importance: the anti-codon, which is responsible for specific mRNA codon recognition, and the 3' end, to which the tRNAs corresponding amino acid is attached (by aminoacyl-tRNA synthetases). tRNAs cope with the degeneracy of the genetic code in two manners: having more than one tRNA (with a specific anti-codon) for a particular amino acid; and 'wobble' base-pairing, i.e. permitting non-standard base-pairing at the 3rd anti-codon position.
Source: RNAcentral
GGGCCCAUAGCUCAGUUGGUUAGAGCACUCGGCUCAUAACCGAAAGGUCCCAGGUUCGAAUCCUGGUGGGCCCACCA